AGAGUUUGAUCAUGGCUCAGAAUGAACGCUGGCGGCGUGCCUAAUACAUGCAAGUCGAACGCGAAAGUGCCUUUCGGGGCAUGAGUAGAGUGGCGAACGGGUGAGUAACACGUGAGCAACCUGCCCUUAAGUCGAGGAUAACCAAUCGAAAGGUUGGCUAAUCCUGGAUAUAGCCAUAUAUAGGCAUCUAUAUAUGGUUAAAGCUGGGGACCGUAAGGCCUGGCGCUUAGGGAUGGGCUCGCGGCCUAUUAGGUAGUUGGUGGGGUGAAGGCCUACCAAGCCGAUGAUGGGUAGCCGGCCUGAGAGGGUGGACGGCCACACUGGGACUGAGAUACGGCCCAGACUCCUACGGGAGGCAGCAGUAGGGAAUAUUGCGCAAUGGGGGAAACCCUGACGCAGCGACGCCGCGUGAGUGAGGAAGCCCUUCGGGGUGUAAAGCUCUGUUGUUAGGGAAGAAAGGUAUAUAGGUUAAUAGCCUAUAUAUUUGACGGUACCUAACGAGGAAGCUCCGGCUAACUCCGUACCAGCAGCCGCGGUAAUACGGGGGGAGCGAGCGUUAUUCGGAAUUACUGGGCAUAAAGGGCGUGUAGGCGGUUGUAUAAGUCAGGGGUGAAAAUCUGAGGCUUAACUUCAGACUUGCCUUUGAUACUAUACGACUAGAGUACUGGAGAGGUGAGUGGAAUUCCUGGUGUAGCGGUGAAAUGCGUAGAUAUCAGGAAGAACACCGGAGGCGAAGGCGGCUCACUGGCCAGAUACUGACGCUGAGGCGCGAAAGCGUGGGUAGCAAACAGGAUUAGA
This 798-nucleotide ribosomal RNA is filed under the name uncultured bacterium. RNAcentral describes it as "bacterial SSU rRNA". It matches the Rfam family "Bacterial small subunit ribosomal RNA", at positions 8 to 782 of the family's 1533-position model. The record is from RNAcentral.